GGUAUAGCUCAGUGGUCGAGUGCAUGCCUCUAGCAUGCAUGAGAUCCUGGGUUCAAUCCCCAGAACCU
This 68-nucleotide transfer RNA is filed under the name Camelus bactrianus (Bactrian camel). It matches the Rfam family "tRNA". Rfam says of the family: Transfer RNA (tRNA) molecules are approximately 80 nucleotides in length. The record is from Rfam by way of RNAcentral. RNAcentral also lists the same sequence under 2 other names. Lineage: Eukaryota; Metazoa; Chordata; Mammalia; Artiodactyla; Camelidae.